This 72-nucleotide transfer RNA is filed under the name Aphredoderus sayanus (pirate perch). Its description in RNAcentral is "tRNA-Lys". It matches the Rfam family "tRNA". Rfam says of the family: Transfer RNA (tRNA) molecules are approximately 80 nucleotides in length. Their secondary structure includes four short double-helical elements and three loops (D, anti-codon, and T loops). Lineage: Eukaryota; Metazoa; Chordata; Actinopteri; Percopsiformes; Aphredoderidae. The record is from RNAcentral.
CACUACGAAGCUAAAACGGUGUAGCAUUAGCCUUUUAAGCUAAAGAAUGGUGACCCCGACCACCCGCAGUGA